GAUGAACGCUAGCGGCAGGCCUAAUACAUGCAAGUCGAACGGUAAUGGCGCCAGCAAUGGCGCCACAAGAGUGACGCACGGGUGCGUAACACGUAUGCAACCUACCCUUUACAGGAGUAUAGCUCGGGGAAACUCGAAUUAACCCUUCAUAGUAUAAAUGAAUGGCAUCAUUUGUUUAUUAAAUCUGAGGAGGUAAAGGAUGGGCAUGCGUCUGAUUAGCAGUUGGUAGUGUAAUGGACUACCAAGGCGAUGAUCAGUAGGGGAACUGAGAGGUUGAUCCCCCACACUGGC
RNAcentral lists this ribosomal RNA (291 nucleotides) under uncultured bacterium. Its description in RNAcentral is "partial 16S ribosomal RNA". It matches the Rfam family "Bacterial small subunit ribosomal RNA", at positions 28 to 317 of the family's 1533-position model. The record is from RNAcentral.